ACUUCCGCAGGCAGUUGCAGCAUUGCCUUAUUUGGAUUAUCACGGCUACCUACCAUAUGGAGCUCCACAGUUGCAAUAUCACCCACCUACGUACGUGUAUUUGCCACCAAUAGACGAGCUGUAUGAGGGACCACCGGGAGAGAGAUAUGAGGACUGAAGAAUGCAGAGAAUAUGCUACAUGGACUUAGUAUGGACUAUGUCUUUGCCUCUGUUGUAUCUUUGGAUUGUAAUAAUUCUAAUGGACUUUGGAUGUAUUGCGUUAUAUGUGUGGACUUUGGACAUGAGUUAUGUGUUAAAUGGUGUAUUUGUCAUUGUUUUGUGGAGUUAUAUAUAUGUUAUGCAUUAUAAACUGUCAAUAUACACAUAAUCA
This is a long non-coding RNA of Panicum virgatum (switchgrass), 370 nucleotides long. RefSeq lists it as uncharacterized. NCBI's taxonomy places the organism in Eukaryota, Viridiplantae, Streptophyta, Magnoliopsida, Poales, Poaceae. The transcript has 2 exons. The record is from RefSeq and is a predicted model, not a curated record.